AUCUAUGGUCAUGCUAUCCUGCGAGCGCCUGAUCCCGUCAGAUCUAAGAAACUAAGCAGGAUGGGUCCUGGUUAUGAUUUGGAUGGGAGACUGUCUUGGAAGACCAGGGCCCAUUAGAUC
This 120-nucleotide ribosomal RNA is filed under the name Mastacembelus armatus (zig-zag eel). Lineage: Eukaryota; Metazoa; Chordata; Actinopteri; Synbranchiformes; Mastacembelidae. The record is from RNAcentral.